This 363-nucleotide ribosomal RNA is filed under the name uncultured fungus. RNAcentral describes it as "eukaryotic LSU rRNA". It matches the Rfam family "Eukaryotic large subunit ribosomal RNA", at positions 40 to 398 of the family's 3401-position model. The record is from RNAcentral. Lineage: Eukaryota; Fungi.
AUAUCAAUAAGCGGAGGAAAAGAAACUAACAAGGAUUCCCCUAGUAACUGCGAGUGAAGAGGGAAAAGCUCAAAUUUAAAAUCUGGCAGUUAUGCUGUCCGAGUUGUAAAUUAGAGAAGUGUUAUCUGUGUUGGCCUGUGCAAAAGUCCUUUGGAAAAGGGCAUCAUAGAGGGUGACAAUCCCGUCUUUGGCACAGAUUACCAAUGCUCUGUGAUGCACUCUCAACGAGUCGAGUUGUUUGGGAAUGCAGCUCUAAACGGGUGGUAAAUUCCAUCUAAAGCUAAAUAUUGGCGAGAGACCGAUAGCGCACAAGUACCGUGAGGGAAAGAUGAAAAGAACUUUGAAAAGAGAGUUAAACAGUAU